This 468-nucleotide ribosomal RNA is filed under the name uncultured bacterium. RNAcentral describes it as "partial 16S ribosomal RNA". It matches the Rfam family "Bacterial small subunit ribosomal RNA", at positions 28 to 507 of the family's 1533-position model. The record is from RNAcentral.
GACGAACGCUGGCGGCGUGCUUAACACAUGCAAGUCGAACGGAAAGGCCCUGCUUUUGUGGGGUGCUCGAGUGGCGAACGGGUGAGUAACACGUGAGUAACCUGCCCUUGACUUUGGGAUAACUUCAGGAAACUGGGGCUAAUACCGGAUAGGAGCUCCUGCUGCAUGGUGGGGGUUGGAAAGUUUCGGCGGUUGGGGAUGGACUCGCGGCUUAUCAGCUUGUUGGUGGGGUAGUGGCUUACCAAGGCUUUGACGGGUAGCCGGCCUGAGAGGGUGACCGGCCACAUUGGGACUGAGAUACGGCCCAGACUCCUACGGGAGGCAGCAGUGGGGAAUAUUGCACAAUGGGCGGAAGCCUGAUGCAGCAACGCCGCGUGCGGGAUGACGGCCCUCGGGUUGCAAACCGCUUUCGCCUGUGACGAAGCGUGAGUGACGGUAAUGGGUAAAGAAGCACCGGCUAACUACGUG